This 497-nucleotide ribosomal RNA is filed under the name uncultured bacterium. RNAcentral's name for it is "partial 16S ribosomal RNA". It matches the Rfam family "Bacterial small subunit ribosomal RNA", at positions 28 to 507 of the family's 1533-position model. The record is from RNAcentral.
GAUGAACGCUGGCGGCGUGCCUAAUACAUGCAAGUCGAGCGAACGGACGAGAAGCUUGCUUCUCUGAUUUUAUCGGCGGACGGGUGAGUAACUCGUGGAUAACCUACCUUUAUUACUGUUAUAACUUCGUGAAACCGUAUCUAAUACCGGUUAAUAUUUUUUACCUCAUGGUUCAAUAGUGUAAUACGGUCUUUCUGUCCCUUAUAGAUUUAUCCUCGCUGCAUUAGCUAGUUGGUAAGGUAACGGCUUACCAAGGCAACGAUGCAUAGCCGACCUGAGAGGGUGAUCGGCGAAACGGGAAGUGAGACACGGUACAGACUCCUACGGGAGGAAGCAGUAGGGAAAAGUACGCAAUGGGCGAAAGCAUGACGGAGCAAAGCCGCGUGAGUGAUGAAGGUAUUAGGAUCGUAAAACUAUGUUAUUAGGGAAGAACAUAUGUGUAAGUAAAUGUGCAGAUCGUGACGGUAACUAAUAAGAAAGCAACGGCUAACUACGUG